Molecule: small nuclear RNA, 103 nt
Organism: Arvicola amphibius (Eurasian water vole)
Lineage: Eukaryota; Metazoa; Chordata; Mammalia; Rodentia; Cricetidae
Source: RefSeq, a predicted model, not a curated record
UUUGAACUUUUGCAUUAAGAAUCAUCUAAAUUGGAAUGAUAGAAAAUUAGAUUGGCCCCUGUUCAAGGGUGACACAUAAAUUCACAAAGCGCGUAUUUUUUUA